AAACAGGUCUCACAACCUGAGUGGAUUGCUGAGUAGUGACAACUCGGGCGUGUUGUCCACCAGGAAGUGCCCGAUUAACACCAGCUUGUGAACUUCCUUGCUUCAGGGCUUCCCAUCUAUCCCAAGUAGCUGAUUGGGACGGACCUUGAGACUGGUUCAUCGGAUAGGGUGUUCUCAUGCUGGGACUUUGACGGCCAACAGAAUGUUGAGAUGGUUGAACAUGAGGAAGAGAACGCUUCUGCGGUAAUGCUGAUGAGGUCAUGCGUGUCUGAACCAGG
Molecule: unclassified non-coding RNA, 278 nt
Filed under: Hevea brasiliensis (rubber tree)
Lineage: Eukaryota; Viridiplantae; Streptophyta; Magnoliopsida; Malpighiales; Euphorbiaceae
Source: RNAcentral